This 407-nucleotide ribosomal RNA is filed under the name Rickettsia endosymbiont of Lutzomyia apache. RNAcentral's name for it is "bacterial SSU rRNA". It matches the Rfam family "Bacterial small subunit ribosomal RNA", at positions 48 to 484 of the family's 1533-position model. Lineage: Bacteria; Pseudomonadati; Pseudomonadota; Alphaproteobacteria; Rickettsiales; Rickettsiaceae. The record is from RNAcentral.
UUAACACAUGCAAGUUGAACGGAUUAAUUUAGGGCUUGCUCUGAAUUAGUUAGUAGCAAACGGGUGAGUAACACGUGGGAAUCUACCCAUCAGUACGGAAUAACAUUUAGAAAUAGAUGCUAAUACCGUAUAUUCUCUUCGGAGGAAAGAUUUAUCGCUGAUGGAUGAGCCCGCGUCAGAUUAGGUAGUUGGUAGGGUAAUGGCCUACCAAGCCAACGAUCUGUAGCUGGUCUGAGAGGAUGAUCAGCCACACUGGGACUGAGACACGGCCCAGACUCCUACGGGAGGCAGCAGUGGGGAAUAUUGGACAAUGGGCGAAAGCCUGAUCCAGCAAUACCGAGUGGGUGACGAAGGCCUUAGGGUUGUAAAGCCCUUUUCAAUAGGGAAGAUAAUGACGGUACCUAUAA